RNAcentral lists this ribosomal RNA (500 nucleotides) under uncultured bacterium. Its description in RNAcentral is "partial 16S ribosomal RNA". It matches the Rfam family "Bacterial small subunit ribosomal RNA", at positions 30 to 523 of the family's 1533-position model. The record is from RNAcentral.
AUUGAACGCUGGCGGCAUGCCUUACACAUGCAAGUCGAACGGCAGCACGGGAGCAAUCCUGGUGGCGAGUGGCGAACGGGUGAGUAAUGUAUCGGAACGUGCCCAGUCGUGGGGGAUAACGUAGCGAAGGCUACGCUAAUACCGCAUACGAUCUAUGGAUGAAAGCGGGGGAUCGCAAGACCUCGCGCGAUUGGAGCGGCCGAUAUCAGAUUAGGUAGUUGGUGGGGUAAAGGCCCACCAAGCCUGCGAUCUGUAGCUGGUCUGAGAGGACGACCAGCCACACUGGAACUGAGACAGGGUCCAGACUCCUACGGGAGGCAGCAGUGGGGAAUUUUGGACAAUGGGCGCAAGCCUGAUCCAGCAAUGCCGCGUGCAGGAUGAAGGCCUUCGGGUUGUAAACUGCUUUUGUACGGAACGAAACGGCUUUUUCUAAUACAGAGAGCUAAUGACGGUACCGUAAGAAUAAGCACCGGCUAACUACGUGCCAGCCGCCGCAGUAA